RNAcentral lists this ribosomal RNA (253 nucleotides) under uncultured bacterium. Its description in RNAcentral is "partial 16S ribosomal RNA". It matches the Rfam family "Bacterial small subunit ribosomal RNA", at positions 524 to 776 of the family's 1533-position model. The record is from RNAcentral.
UACGUAGGGGGCAAGCGUUAUCCGGAUUCACUGGGUGUAAAGGGAGCGUAGACGGCGACGCAAGUCUGGAGUGGAAGCCCGGGGCCCAACCCCGGGACUGCUCUGGAAACUGCGGCGCUGGAGUACGGGAGGGGCAGGCGGAAUUCCUGGUGUAGCGGUGAAAUGCGUAGAUAUCAGGAGGAACACCGGCGGCGAAGGCGGCCUGCUGGACCGUGACUGACGUUGAGGCUCGAGAGCGUGGGGAGCAAACAGG